GCUAAUUGCUACGAUAUCGUUAUAAUACCCUACCUUGAUCCUGUUCUAAGGGAAAAUCCCCCCCUUAACAGGUGACAAAUCAGUGACAUCAGGUUAUUUUCU
This 102-nucleotide non-coding RNA is filed under the name Serratia symbiotica str. Tucson. RNAcentral describes it as "Yersinia sRNA 190". It matches the Rfam family "Yersinia sRNA 190". The record is from Rfam by way of RNAcentral. Lineage: Bacteria; Pseudomonadati; Pseudomonadota; Gammaproteobacteria; Enterobacterales; Yersiniaceae.